GGGAGAUUUCCCGAGUGGCCAAAGGGGACAGACUGUAAAUCUGCUGUCAUCGACUUCGGUGGUUCGAAUCCACCAUCUCCCACCA
This 85-nucleotide transfer RNA is filed under the name Clostridiales bacterium. RNAcentral describes it as "tRNA-Tyr". It matches the Rfam family "tRNA". Rfam says of the family: Transfer RNA (tRNA) molecules are approximately 80 nucleotides in length. Their secondary structure includes four short double-helical elements and three loops (D, anti-codon, and T loops). Lineage: Bacteria; Bacillati; Bacillota; Clostridia; Eubacteriales. The record is from RNAcentral.